GUAGCUUCCUCCUCAGUACCCAGAGGCCUGGAGCAAGGGUCACUUCUCUACCUCUGUGAUGCUGCUAUAUGGCCAAUCCGACCACCUACUUCCCAAAUGGAGAAACCACCCUGUGGAUGUGGGAAGUGGCUGGGUCUGCAUCAUGAAGCCCAUGGUAUGGUGGAAAGAAAUUUGUCUUUAUGUAGCAUGACUUCCAGAAAUGAAAAGAAGUGGCAGGACAGGACCAGAGGAGAGUCUAAGGUGGAGCUUGGAGAAGGUGACUGGAUCAUGAGAGUGCUGUACACGUCAGUGGAAUCACCAACUAGUGAAUUCAACAGCUGCAUGUGCUGUUGGUUGUAGGUGUCAAAUAUGUGUUCCAGCAAUG
This is a long non-coding RNA of Heterocephalus glaber (naked mole-rat), 364 nucleotides long. The record is from Ensembl. Lineage: Eukaryota; Metazoa; Chordata; Mammalia; Rodentia; Bathyergidae.